AUAUCAAUAAGCGGAGGAAAAGAAACCAACAGGGAUUCCCCUAGUAACGGCGAGUGAAGCGGGAACAGCUCAAAUUUGAAAGCUGGCCUUCUGGUCCGCAUUGUAAUUUGUAGAGGAUGCUUUUGGCGCGGUGCCUUCUGAGUUCCUUGGAACAGGACGCCUUAGAGGGUGAGAGCCCCGUACAGUUGGACACCUAGCCUUUGUAAAGCUCCUUCGACGAGUCGAGUAGUUUGGGAAUGCUGCUCUAAAUGGGAGGUAAAUUUCUUCUAAAGCUAAAUACCGGCCAGAGACCGAUAGCGCACAAGUAGAGUGAUCGAAAGAUGAAAAGCACUUUGAAAAGAGGGUUAAAUAGCACGUGAAAUUGUUGAAAGGGAAGCGCUUAUGACCAGACUUUUUCCUGGCGGAUCAUCCGGCGUUCUCGCCGGUGCACUUCGUCAGGUUUAGGCCAACAUCGAUUUCCGCCGGGGGAUAAAGACUUCGGGAAUGUGACUCCCUCCGGGGAGUGUUAUAGCCCGUUGUGUAAUACCCUGGUGGGGAUCGAGGUUCGCGCUUCGGCAAGGAUGUUGGCAUAAUGGUCAUCAGUGACCCGUCUUGAAACACGGACCAAGGAGUCGAACAUUUGUGCGAGUGUUUGGGUGUUAAACCCUCACGCGUAAUGAAAGUGAACGGAGGUGAGAGCCUUAGGGUGCAUCAUCGACCGAUCCUGAUGUCUUCGGAUGGAUUUGAGUAAGAGCAUAAAUGUUCGGACCCGAAAGAUGGUGAACUAUGCGUGGAUAGGGUGAAGCCAGAGGAAACUCUGGUGGAGGCUCGCAGCGGUUCUGACGUGCAAAUCGAUCGUCAAAUCUGCGCAUGGGGCGAAAGACUAAUCGA
Molecule: ribosomal RNA, 870 nt
Filed under: Circinotrichum circinatum
Lineage: Eukaryota; Fungi; Ascomycota; Sordariomycetes; Xylariales; Coniocessiaceae
Description: partial large subunit ribosomal RNA
Rfam family: Eukaryotic large subunit ribosomal RNA
Source: RNAcentral